UACGAAGGGAGCUAGCGUUGUUCGGAAUUACUGGGCGUAAAGGGCGCGUAGGCGGUUUUGUAAGUCAGAUGUGAAAGCCCCGGGCUUAACCUGGGAGGUGCAUUUGAAACUGCAAGGCUAGAGAUCGAGAGAGGAAAGUGGAAUUACGAGUGUAGAGGUGAAAUUCGUAGAUAUUCGUAAGAACACCAGUGGCGAAGGCGACUUUCUGGCUCGAUACUGACGCUAAGGCGCGAAAGCGUGGGGAGCAAAC
RNAcentral lists this ribosomal RNA (250 nucleotides) under uncultured bacterium. RNAcentral describes it as "partial 16S ribosomal RNA". It matches the Rfam family "Bacterial small subunit ribosomal RNA", at positions 524 to 773 of the family's 1533-position model. The record is from RNAcentral.